RNAcentral lists this transfer RNA (71 nucleotides) under Caudoviricetes sp. RNAcentral's name for it is "tRNA-Gln". It matches the Rfam family "tRNA". Rfam says of the family: Transfer RNA (tRNA) molecules are approximately 80 nucleotides in length. Their secondary structure includes four short double-helical elements and three loops (D, anti-codon, and T loops). The record is from RNAcentral. Lineage: Duplodnaviria; Heunggongvirae; Uroviricota; Caudoviricetes.
AGCGCACUGGUGUAACGGUAGCACAUCGCACUUUGACUGCGUCAGUAGACAUUCGAGUUGUCUGUGCGCUG